CUGGAAGGCCAUGGGGAGACAUUCUGAGUUCUAUUUUGGACAUGAUCAUCUUAUGAUGCAAUCUUGGAUGUCAAGAAGGCUGUUAGAUAUAGAAGUCUAGAGUUUAAAAGAGAAGUCAAAGCUGAAGAUACAAAUUUUGUGGUCACAUAAAGAAGUAUUUAAAGUCAUAGGACUAAAAUGACACAAGCUAGGGAAUGAAUGUAGAGAUGGACAGAUUGAGCCCUGGGAUUCUUCAACAUCUAGAGUUUUAGAAAAAGAACAAGUCCCAGCAGCGCACAUGAGAAAAGCCAGAGAAAUAGGAAGUUCAGGAGAAAAUGUGGUUUCCUGGAGGGCACAUGAAGUGCAUCUCAAGAAGGAGUUAAGUAAUCAGUGCUGCCAAGAGGUCCAAUGAACACCGAAUGUCAACCACCAGAUGUGGCAACAUGUAAGGCAAUAUGACCUUGACCAAAGAAGAUAGUUUUGGUUAAUUAUGGUGACAUAUUCAAAACAUAUGGUGGUGGCUCUUGGCACUUUUCAUAUUCUGAAAUUUCCUUUUGAAUUUCCGUGAAGAACCCAUUUCCCAAACUGAUUUUACCUCGUGGGACUACCGUCGCAGUUGAUACUCUGAGAGCAGUGUGUUAGGAGCAUGCAGUAGUCCUCACUGUGCUCCACAUGCUGACUGACCCACCAACCAAAGUGACAUUUCACCCAUUUCACCAGGGUAGUGAACUGCCCCCUUUGCCCCAGAACAAUCUGUCACUCUAUCCUCCUGUGAUUUUCAUUAAGAGAUACGAAAACAGCUCUCUGCUGUCAUUUUGCCACCUAUAAACCCCACUUUUGGGCUGGUUACAGUGGCUCAUGCCUGUAAUCCCAGCACUUUGCGAGGCCAAAGCGGGCGGACC
RNAcentral lists this long non-coding RNA (881 nucleotides) under Homo sapiens (human). Its description in RNAcentral is "HSALNT0020556". The record is from RNAcentral. Lineage: Eukaryota; Metazoa; Chordata; Mammalia; Primates; Hominidae.